Molecule: long non-coding RNA, 5424 nt
Filed under: Populus tremula
Lineage: Eukaryota; Viridiplantae; Streptophyta; Magnoliopsida; Malpighiales; Salicaceae
Description: long non-coding RNA (PTRE_LNC000034)
Source: RNAcentral
CUUUCUUUAAUUUUUCCUUCUCAACUACAUAAAUUUUCAAACAAUCUCUCCAAAUCGUCAAACGAGAAGGAACAUCAAAUCUAGGUUGCAUUACUUGACAAAAUGAUUUAAAUCCUUGGUUUUCAACAAAGUUAAAAGGUAGCUCAUCAAGUAUAAUCAUUUUUCCCAAGGCUUUCCUACACUCUUCAUAACUAUAACCCACUGCUUUAAUAGUCGCUAGAUUGUCCUCUCCAUUAUUACCCCUUUUAUUAUAGGCCUAGGUUUUAAAACUAAAGUUUUUUGUUUUCAGUCAAUCACAAAAGGAAAUUUUUUGCAUACACCUAGAUGACUCUACAUGUUACUAGUCCUAUUAAAUAUAGUAUGACAUGCAUAGUCUUUUCCACAAUACAUACAUGCAGUCGUAGGAGCUUUAGGAUUACCAUCUAGUUUUUUAAAGGGAUCCUAAAUUUGAGAUGUUUUUUUUAUUAGAUUUAGAAGGUGGAUUACCUUCACUUUCAGUGUUGCUAUUUGUACUAGAAGUAGCAACUAGAACUGGAACUGGAAUAGGCAAAGAAUUGGGUUCCGAACUUAAAGGAUUUGAUUCAUUUGGUGUAGGAUCUUUCCAAUUAUCUAUCUAAAUUUAAAAAAAAAAAAAAACAACAACAACAACAUGAAUCUUAAAGUUAAAGCUAACACGUUCAAUUGCAAAAAGGAUUUAAGGACCAUAAAUUAUUUCCAAUCGCAAAAGCAAGAAAAAAGCCCACUAUUCUGCCAAUUAAUACAAAAGCAAGAAAAAAACCUCCUGGUGAAUCAAGCAAAAGUUGAGCAUCAUGUUAGGUUCAUAAAAUUGAAAAAAGGCAUAUGUCACCUCUCUAUUCUAAAAAACUUGUAUACUACUCGUAGAAAUACACAUCAUAAUGAGCUCCAACAUCUGACAAGGCAAAAAAAUUUCAAACAAGGUGUACACUAUAAUGGACCAAUGGUUUAUAAUAGAUCAUACAUGAAAAUCAAAUAUUUCCAUGGAAAAGGUUUUGCAAAAACACACAAUAAUUUUAACUGAAGAGAGCAAUCAAUAUCUAAAAAUUCAACAAAUCAUGAAAUCAACAAAAUCAACAGUUAACUUGAAUUUAUUAUAAACAUAACAUAACACCCAACAACCAUAUUUUCACAUUGCAGGGGGCAAAGACACAGGGUGAAUGAAAAUUGAAAGGGAAAGGAAGAAUGCGAUAAAUUGUCUUUGGUCUGGGGCAGCGGCUUUUCAUGUAAUGUUAUUAAUUAGGGUACUUAUGUUUACUGUAGUAUUUAUAGGUCUUUUAUUUUAUGGUUGGUUUGGUUUGGUUCACCGGUUUUAGUUGUAAAACCAAAAUUGAACCGAACCGGCAAGAUUUUAUGGUUUUAAAAAUCGGUUUUUCAUUGCGGUUCAGUUUUCUUGGUUCAUUUUUCAUCGGUUUUCUUGGUUAAUUGGUUUUUUUUAACAUCCCCUGCUAAUUACCAUGGAUUUUCACCCCUAGUCAUGACAAAAUUUCUUUUUAAUUUAUUAUUUUUCACUUGGAAGUGGUGUUGUUUAACACGGGGUUUACAUUCUAUGCCUAAUAUGAAGGCCUUCCAGACCUUAACUAGUUACAGUAAGCUAACCCUUCUAUAAAACAGGGCUUAUUGAAUAUUCUGAAGUUAUAAUUGUUUUAGUUAAUACGCCUGAGUUCUCAUUAGCUUUGUCUUGUUUAUCUUUUAUAAACAUCUUCACAACAUAUCCCACAUCAAUAAAAGAUUUAUCUCAUUUUAUAAUUUUUACAUGUGGCAUAUUAUGAUGAGCAAGUUAUGAAUCAUUGGCAUAUUUGGCAUGUCCAUAUUUCAAAAUGAAAACUUUCCCCAUAAUAUUACUUGAUAUUAAAAAAUAAUAUCAUUUUAAUGUGAUAGAUAGAUUGCUUUUAAUAAUUUGUUAUAUUAUAUAUAAACACACACUCACACACAUAAAGGUUUGAUCCCAUAAAUAGGAUCGUCAAGACAUCAAUCUAGUCCAUAUAUCUAAGAAAUUUCCAUUUUCGUCCGUUGAUUAAUCAUAUUUUAUUGAAAUUCUACCAUGGAGAAAUUUAACCAAAAUCUCAAACAUAAGAAUUUGAACCAACAGAAGGGAACAAGGGAAAAGAAAAACAGAGACGCAUGUAUGUUUUCAGCGAUUGAUGUCUUGUAAAAUCAGCAUGUUGUAAUAUUUAUCAACGGUUCACCAUCGGAUGAUGGAGUCCUGCCAGUAUCAAAAUCACCAGUGAUUGAUGUCGAAACUGCAUCCCAAUCAUUGCUUGCAUCAUCCAUGGCGUUUUUUGAUAUUUUACAGUUCUCUUGAAUAUUUAGCUCUUUUUGAGACAAUCCAUUUAUCCUCUCCAACUCUGAUGUGACUUCUCGCAUUGUAGGUCGAUUUUUCCCAUUCAAAUUCAAGCAUCUUCUCGCAAGAUUAGCAACAGAGAUAACUUCUUCACUCUGACAGCCCUCCUUAACUCUAGCAUCAAGAAUAUCAGACAGUCUAUUGUCUUCCAUCAACAUAAUAAAAUGCGUGGCUAAACUUCUAGUCUCUGUCUGACUUACAGAAAAUAUCGGUUUUUGUCCACUUAUGAGCUCAACCAGAACCACUCCAAAGCUAUAAACAUCACUCUUUUCUGUAAAUUGACUAGACUGGAAGUACUCGGGAUCCAAGUAGCCAAAAGUACCUUGCACAAGAGUGGUCAAGUGAGUUUGAUCGAUGGAUAUAGAUCUUGAAGAUCCAAAAUCAGAUACUUUUGCUCUGUAUUUCUCAUCUAGGAGUAUGUUUGUAGACUUGAUAUCACGAUGAUAAAUCGGAAUGGAUGUCGCCGAGUGUAGAUAGGAAAGUGCUCCAGCAACUUCAAUGGCAAUCCGUAAUCGCAUCUCCCAAGAUAACAAGAGAUCUUCGUUUUGAUCAUGGAUAUACUUGUAAAGAUUUCCAUUGGGAAUGAACUCAUAGACUAGCAACGGAACUUCAGUCUCCAAGCAACAACCGAGCAACUUAACCACAUUCCUAUGGUUAAUCUGUGAAAGAACGACGACCUCAUUGAUAAAUUCUUCAAGCUUUCCUUCAUCAACGACCACGGACUUCUUAACAGCAACAAUCCUUCCAUCUGCUAACAUCCCUUUAUAAACUGUGCCUUGACCACCUUGACCGAGUAUUCUAUUCACAUUAAAACGAUCAGUGGCUACUUCCAACUCCUUUGAACUGUAUAUUUUUGUUUUUUGAACCCAACCUUCAGCAGCACGUAAUUCCUGCUGUAACAAUAGCCCACCAUUUCGUUUGAAGAAUUUCUUUUUGAGUUCAAUCUUUUUCCAUUUCUUUACAAGUUUAUAUAACCACCAAAUGCCCAUCAGCAAUGACAAUGCCAAGACAACUGCGCCUAUAACUGCAUUAUUUACAACAACGAAGAAAAAGUUAAUUUGUUGACAUGUGCAAUCAUCAGCAUAUAUAUAUAUAUAUAUAUGACUACUGAAUAGCAACAAGCUAGAUUUAGUAGCUAGUAUUUUAUACAUUUAAUCUUUUAGCUCACUCUAAAUGAUGACAAGUGCUUAACAUUUUAGUGAAAUCCAAGAGCUUCUUCUCUGUUUUAAUACAAAGGGAGGUUCCAUUAAAACAACAACAAAAAAAUUUACUGAGUCCUAGGGGGUGUACAGGGUGCCAUACCCCUAUUUACCAUCUUAGUAAGGAAAACAACAAGAACAACGACAGCAAGAAAGUAGAAGAAGAAGAGAAGAAAUCUUAGACUUACCUAUCAAGGCUAUAUAAAGUUUAUUGAUCUCGCAAUUGAAAUACCCCCGUGUAUUUACACAUUUAAGUAACCCUCGGCACGUAUGCUUCGAUUCUUUACAUUCAUCCACAUCUAAUAAAAUAAUAAGAGCAAAAAUCCAAAACGAAUAAGAUGAUUAUCCAAUGUUAGGACAGAAAUCACUAACAAAAUUAGCAAGCCACCAUUCCCAUAGCAAAAUCAUCAUUUUCUCAACAAACAAAUUGCUGUCAUCACUCAUAUUUUUGGAGGAAAAAAGUAUUUACCUAUGCAUCCAAGGUAAGGGAUGCCCUCAUAGCCCCCAUUACACUCACAUUCGGAUCCAAAAGAUCGAUUGUAAUAUCCUCUGCAAUACACGGGAUCAUCAUCAUUCCAACUCAUUGUCCAACCAAGCUCUGCUGGAACAUAAUCUCUAUAUUGCAAUGUGAAUGGAUCGCUGAUAUUCGAUUCGAACCAUGUCUGGUUCACCAGGAAGGCCAGCUUGCAUCCUUCUCUAUCUUGAUUAUCAUCUGUAGCUUCUAAUUUUGGAUUGAAAACCUGAAGGAAUGAUGGGGGUGAAGCCUGACAGAAAUUUUUACUCUUUACGUCACUGCAGGUAGACACACAACCGAUGAGAUUUGGCGUGAUUCCGGUCAUUAAAGCUUGAGUAUUACAACCUACUGCGAUGAAUACAUUAUCGUUUCUGGAGAAGACAAAAGGAGUUCCCGUCAAAUUCAGAGGCACGCCAUCUUCCCUGCCAGUACAAUUCGAGGAUAUUAUUGGACUUUUGACAGUAACAGUGGCUCUUUCAGCUGAAAUAUUCAGCACCUCCAUGUUGAUUCGACUUAUAAAAGCUCUAGCAGGGUUGACAGUUGCAUUGCAUUCUAUGGCGAACCAUUCGUUCAUGUGGCAAUCUUUUCGUAUUCCGAAGGGGUAUGGAAUGCUGAUGUCUCCACAACGAUCUGGACAACCGGACCUUGCGAUCGGUGCUGCUGUUGCUGCUAUUUGAAACAUUAGCAUCAUCAACAUCAAUUGAAACACCAAUUUCCAAACCAUUCCCCCCCCCUUUUUUUUUUCUUUUCUUUUUGAAAGUUUUGAUUCCAAAUCGCUCCUAAAUAAGUUCAUAUAUCCCAGUAAAGCAAGAAUUGAGAUGUUUCUUUGUACCUUCUGGGUGACUCACCGGGUCAAACCAGCUAGUAUAAAUAAAGAAUAAACACCGGUGGAAUGUAGAUUUUCAGUAGCAUAUAGUUGAAAAGUCGUCCAGUACCUUGGUCUCCAGAGAUCGGUUCAAAUUUGAUUUUUCAAGGAAGUAAUGAAUAUAAAAAACGUGUUCAGUAUACUGUUCGCUAGUCAAUUGUGCAGUUCUGAGAGUUACUAGUCAAUUUUCAUAUGGUUUUGAUUUUUAUUUUUAUUUUGUUUACAAAUGAGAGAUUCGAGCUUGAAAUUUUUAGGGAAGAAAAAAAAAAAACACUUCCAUCAUCCGAGUUACAAUAAAAUUCUUUCAGGUUUCUUUUUUUGACCGUUGUUUUUUUUUUUUCUUGUUUGGCUGCUGCAAAGAAGAGAAGAAAGAUUGCAAUUGUUUUCGAAGUCGAAAAAAGAUAAAUUCCAGAAUCAUAGAAAUUUAAAACUUCAAGAAGAUGGUUAUCUUUUGGAAAUCGAAUUCCUAUACGUUGAAGGAUUUUUC